This 440-nucleotide ribosomal RNA is filed under the name uncultured bacterium. RNAcentral describes it as "partial 16S ribosomal RNA". It matches the Rfam family "Bacterial small subunit ribosomal RNA", at positions 338 to 795 of the family's 1533-position model. The record is from RNAcentral.
CCUACGGGUGGCAGCAGUGGGGAAUAUUGCACAAUGGGGGAAACCCUGAUGCAGCGACGCCGCGUGAGUGAAGAAGUAAUUCGUUAUGUAAAGCUCUAUCAGCAGGGAAGAAAAUGACGGUACCUGAGUAAGAAGCCCCGUCUAACUACGUGCCAGCAGCCGCGGUAAUACGUAGGGGGCAAGCGUUAUCCGGAUUUACUGGGUGUAAAGGGAGCGUAGACGGCAGUGCAAGUCUGGAGUGAAAGGCGGGGGCUCAACCCCCGGACUGCUCUGGAAACUGUGUUUCUUGAGUGCUGGAGAGGCAAUCGGAAUUCCGGGUGUAGCGGUGAAAUGCGUAGAGAUACGGAGGAACACCAGUGGCGAAGGCGGAUUGCUGGACAGUAACUGACGCUGAGGCGCGAAGGCGUGGGGAGCAAACAGGAUUAGAUACCCUUGUAGUC